RNAcentral lists this ribosomal RNA (301 nucleotides) under uncultured bacterium. RNAcentral describes it as "partial 16S ribosomal RNA". It matches the Rfam family "Bacterial small subunit ribosomal RNA", at positions 509 to 807 of the family's 1533-position model. The record is from RNAcentral.
CAGCAGCCACGGUAAGACAGAGGGUGCAAACGUUGUUCGGAAUUACUGGGCGUAAAGCGUGUGUAGGCGGCUUCGCAAGUCGGAUGUGAAAGCCCCGGGCUCAACCCGGGAAGUGCACUCGAUACUGCGGAGCUAGAGUGUCGGAGAGGUUGGUGGAAUUCUCGGUGUAGAGGUGAAAUUCGUAGAUAUCGAGAGGAACACCGGUGGCGAAGGCGGCCAACUGGACGAACACUGACGCUGAGGCACGAAAGCGUGGGGAGCAAACAGGAUUAGAUACCCCUGUAGUCCCUGUCUCUUAUAC